AGACGGGACCCGCACAAGCGGUGGAUGAUGUGGAUUAAUUCGAUGCAACGCGAAAACCUUACCUACCCUUGACAUGUCCGGAAUCCCGAAGAGAUUUGGGAGUGCUCGCAAGAGAACCGGAACACAGGUGCUGCAUGGCUGUCGUCAGCUCGUGUCGUGAGAUGCUGGGUUAAGUCCCGCAACGAGCGCAACCCUUGUCAUUAGUUGCCAUCAUUUGGUUGGGCACUCUAAUGAGACUGCCGGUGACAAACCGGAGGAAGGUGGGGAUGACGUCAAGUCCUCAUGGCCCUUAUGGGUAGGGCUUCACACGUCAUACAAUGGUCGGUACAGAGGGUUGCCAACCCGCGAGGGGGAGCCAAUCCCAGAAAACCGAUCGUAGUCCGGAUUGCAGUCUGCAACUCGAUUGCAUGAAGUCGGAAUCGCUAGUAAUCGCGGAUCAGCAUGUCGCGGUGAAUACGUUCCCGGGCCUU
This 470-nucleotide ribosomal RNA is filed under the name uncultured Propionivibrio sp. RNAcentral's name for it is "bacterial SSU rRNA". It matches the Rfam family "Bacterial small subunit ribosomal RNA", at positions 916 to 1381 of the family's 1533-position model. The record is from RNAcentral. Lineage: Bacteria; Pseudomonadati; Pseudomonadota; Betaproteobacteria; Rhodocyclales; Rhodocyclaceae.